GUGAGGAAUAUUGGACAAUGGGCGCAAGCCUGAUCCAGCCAUGCCGCGUGCAGGAAGACGCAUCUAUGGUGUGUAAACUGCUUUUGUACGGGAAGAAACACUCCCUCGUGAGGGAGCUUGACGGUACCGUAAGAAUAAGGAUCGGCUAACUCCGUGCCAGCAGCCGCGGUAAUACGGAGGAUCCAAGCGUUAUCCGGAAUCAUUGGGUUUAAAUGGUCCGUAGGCGGUUUAAUAAGUCAGUGGUGAAAGCCCAUCGCUCAACGAUGGAACGGCCAUUGAUACUGUUAGACUUGAAUUACAAGGAAGUAACUAGAAUAUGUAGUGUAGCGGUGAAAUGCUUAGAUAUUACAUGGAAUACCAAUUGCGAAGGCAGGUUACUACUUGUGGAUUGACGCUGAUGGACGAAAGCGUGGGGAGCGAACAGGAUUAGAAACCCGAGUAGUCC
RNAcentral lists this ribosomal RNA (445 nucleotides) under uncultured bacterium. RNAcentral's name for it is "partial 16S ribosomal RNA". It matches the Rfam family "Bacterial small subunit ribosomal RNA", at positions 354 to 796 of the family's 1533-position model. The record is from RNAcentral.